RNAcentral lists this transfer RNA (75 nucleotides) under Alphaproteobacteria bacterium. RNAcentral describes it as "tRNA-Thr". It matches the Rfam family "tRNA". Rfam says of the family: Transfer RNA (tRNA) molecules are approximately 80 nucleotides in length. Their secondary structure includes four short double-helical elements and three loops (D, anti-codon, and T loops). Lineage: Bacteria; Pseudomonadati; Pseudomonadota; Alphaproteobacteria. The record is from RNAcentral.
GCUGCUGUAGCUCAGUGGUAGAGCGCGUCAUUGGUAAUGACGAGGCCGGGAGUUCAAUUCUCCCCAGCAGCACCA